Molecule: ribosomal RNA, 971 nt
Filed under: uncultured Campylobacterota bacterium
Lineage: Bacteria; Pseudomonadati; Campylobacterota
Description: bacterial SSU rRNA
Rfam family: Bacterial small subunit ribosomal RNA
Source: RNAcentral
ACUCCUACGGGAGGCAGCAGUGGGGAAUAUUGCACAAUGGAGGAAACUCUGAUGCAGCAACGCCGCGUGGAGGAUGACGCAUUUCGGUGUGUAAACUCCUUUUAUAUGGGAAGAUAAUGACGGUACCAUAUGAAUAAGCACCGGCUAACUCCGUGCCAGCAGCCGCGGUAAUACGGAGGGUGCAAGCGUUACUCGGAAUCACUGGGCGUAAAGCGCAUGCAGGCGGUCUAAUAAGUUGGAAGUGAAAGCCUAUGGCUCAACCAUAGAACUGCUUCCAAAACUGUUAGACUAGAGUCUGGGAGGGGAAGAUGGAAUUAGUAGUGUAGGGGUAAAAUCCGUAGAGAUUACUAGGAAUACCGAAAGCGAAGGCGAUCUUCUGGAACAGUACUGACGCUGAGAAGCGAAAGCGUGGGGAGCAAACAGGAUUAGAUACCCUGGUAGUCCACGCAGCAAACGAUGAAUGUUAGUCGUUGGUAUCCUAGAGAUAUCAGUGAUGCAGUUAACACAUUAAACAUUCCGCCUGGGGAGUACGGUCGCAAGAUUAAAACUCAAAGGAAUAGACGGGGACCCGCACAAGUGGUGGAGCAUGUGGUUUAAUUCGAAGAUACGCGAAGAACCUUACCUAGCCUUGACAUAUUUUAGAAUUCACCAGAGAUGGAGGAGUGCCUUCGGGAGCUAAUAUACAGGUGCUGCACGGCUGUCGUCAGCUCGUGUCGUGAGAUGUUGGGUUAAGUCCCGCAACGAGCGCAACCCUCGUCACUAGUUACUAACGAUUCGGUCGAGGACUCUAGUGAGACUGCCUUCGUAAGGAGGAGGAAGGUGAGGACGACGUCAAGUCAUCAUGGCCCUUACGGCUAGGGCAACACACGUGCUACAGUGGUUAGGACAAUGAGAAGCAAUAUUGCGAGGUGGAGCAAAUCUAUAAACCUAAUCUCAGUUUCGGAUUGUAGUCUGCAACUCGACUACAUGAA